GGACAUCAGAAUACCCAGUAAGGUUCUAACAGCACAGGUGUAACAGCUGAAAACUAUCAUCUUCUAAUCAGUAUUUGUAGUGAGAGUAUUUGGAGUUUCUUGGCUCUGGGAAGGUAUUUAUAAACAAAUGUUAGGGGGCUUUGUUGUACAGGGAGCUGUUCUGAUUGUGCUACUGAGACUGUUCUUCCAGUGAGUGAAAUGUUUUCAUAAAAAUGUUACCAUUGUUGUUGAAAGAGGAAAUCAGCUGCAAUCAAAGGGGUCAGAAAUGAGGAAUGGCUAUCGAUUGAGCUAUGGUGUGCAGUCCUAAAAUACUCCUAUUUGGUGACACUGCAUCUGCUCCAGAUUGCAGUGUAAUCGUGGGCAUUGUGGAUGGCACAGUGGUGAAAAUGGGAACACACACAGAGCUGAUGGGGAAAAAGGAGCCAGAUUAUUCACUUCCAACCUCACAGGAGCUGAUCACAGAGCACAUGCAUUUGAACACCCAAAAAAAUGAUAUUGAAGCACAAAGAGUGAAGAAACAAAAGGCUUGAGCUGUGGAGUUCGAAGUUUGCCCUGCAGCUUUCCAAAGAUUGAAAAUUCUCGGCUCUUGCAUGACAAGGUCAGCCAACUACAUAGACAAGUGCCAAACUUCAGCGUUCCCCAGUGUGUAAAUGUAUUGGGAGACUGGACUUUUAAUUAGCACAGUUCCAGGAAGAGCAAAGAAUCAGUGAGAAUGAAGUAGACAAGAUGCAUCAAUUAAUGUAUUUCAACUGAACUGUUAUAGAAACCUCGGACAAAUGACAGCGAUUGAACAAAUAAUUGCGAACAGCAAAUCUGCCCAUACAGUUUCCUUUCUCAAGAAUUGAAGCAACUUAAAUUCAGAAAAGAACAGGAGUGAGAAAAGGGAAGAAAAUGAUAUGGAAAAAUAAGAACAUUUUGUUUUGAUAUUUUCAAGCUGAAAUCUUCUCUUUCAAAGCACUAUCUUCAGUUCUAAAUGAACUUGAACAUUACAAACAGCAAUCAAAGAAGGCUGAAUAACUCAGAAAAGGAAAGGAGAGCACUUCUCUGAUUUGGACCAACUUUGGACUGUGCUUUGUUUGCAUAGUUUGUGGUUCAGCUGUCAGACAGAAAAUUGCCAUGAUUUUAAUGGCAUUAAUUCUGUAUUCCAGUCUGAACCCAAACCAGAUGACAUAAAAUCCAAGGAUGGGCUGAUUUUCAGAGAUUGCUGUUAAAAUGCAAACCAGAAUGAGAGAAGAGAAAUUACAAAAUGUCAGUGUCCUCACAAGGGGAGCGUGAUUCUGCCCUCCAAACAUAUCCCUUCCAGCUCUGUGUGAC
Gallus gallus (chicken) is the source of this 1314-nucleotide long non-coding RNA. NCBI's taxonomy places the organism in Eukaryota, Metazoa, Chordata, Aves, Galliformes, Phasianidae. The record is from Ensembl.